GAGGUAGCUCCUCACCAGGUGAGGGCAAUUAGUGCCUCUUUGUUUGAGGCCUGGUUGUGUGGCAGGAUUGCUGUGUCCAUGCAGGCAAAGACUCAGCUCUCCCUGUUUAAGCCAGAGUAGAGCCUUUCAACUACUGUGUUGCUUUUCAACAGAGCCCCAUAUUGAACAAGAUUUUAGGCCAGACUGCUGCUUUGCCUUAGCCAGUUUGCCAAGGCUGUUGGCUAAUGUGUCUACAGACUGUACAGCUGAAAUCAUUUGUAGAUGGCAGUGAGACGAGCUGCGGGGAGUGGUCACAGGAUAUGCACCCCUCCUUGCAUACAGUGCAGUAUGUUUGAAGGGUAGUGGUCACUUCACUGGUUGUGGGUUUGAUUUCCCUUGCAGUGUUUGCAGUGAUCAGUGUGCACACAAGGUGGUUUCUACUGGGGUCUGCGAUGGAAUCUCCCCAUGGUCUUUCUCCAGUAUUAUUUACCUUUUUUUAAGUCUUAUUUGAGAGCUGAAUACACGUCUCCUGCUCUUCUUGAACCCUUGAAGAAUUGUGUCAACACUCAGAUGGUUGGUGUCGAGGGCUGGUAUAGUUCUAUUCAGUGUUUCGGUCCCUUUUGUAACCUGGGUGGGGUCACAAAAACUUAAAUUAUAGAAGAAUAUGGAUGAGUUUCUGAGAGCAAUUUGACAAGGUUUUUUUUUUUUUUAAAGAGAAUUUUUAAAAUCUUUGGAAAAAGGAAUGGAAUAUUUUAACAUCUAAUUAUUAAAGAGUGCUGCAGUGAAAAACAGAUUCUAUGCAUUUUAGCUCAACGUCUUUGAACAACCAGUUUUCUUCUAGCAAUUUCAGAAGAGCUUUAUGAGGUGCACAUGAACGUACCACAAAGUCCCUCUGAGUAUGUCAACUCCGACAGCAGAGAAGAGACGUGUAAUACAUUACCAGAAUUCAACGACACAAAGACAACAGAACUCGGCAUAAUUUUGUGAAAUUUGCUGGUGUGGCAGAGUGUCCAAUGAUAUUUAAAAGGCUGGUGUAGUCUUUAUAACACCA
Long non-coding RNA from Acanthopagrus latus (yellowfin seabream), 1030 nucleotides. RefSeq lists it as uncharacterized. NCBI's taxonomy places the organism in Eukaryota, Metazoa, Chordata, Actinopteri, Spariformes, Sparidae. The record is from RefSeq and is a predicted model, not a curated record. The transcript has 5 exons.